Long non-coding RNA from Chroicocephalus ridibundus (black-headed gull), 2189 nucleotides. RefSeq lists it as uncharacterized. Lineage: Eukaryota; Metazoa; Chordata; Aves; Charadriiformes; Laridae. The record is from RefSeq and is a predicted model, not a curated record. The transcript is spliced from 5 exons.
GACGCGGGGGCUUCCCUGCGCGCGCGCUUCCCGCCCUCUGCCUGCUGGCGCUGAGGGCGGUGGGCGCUGCUCGAUGGCCGCCUCCGCUGUGAGGUAAACGGGGGCUUUCGGCCCUUCCCGGCCCCCUUUCUGGGCAGUUCCCCUCGCAGGGGUGUCCUGGCAGUCGCUCAUUGACUAUACUGUACAAUUCAGGUCUCAGCACAGAUGCAUGCGUUAUUGUAGCACGGCAUGUUGGAGGCUUAUAAAGCAAAAGCUGCUGUUACUUCAUGGUGAAAGAAUGACAACCUCCCUCCAGUACAGCACCACUUCCUAGCGGCACCAGCAGGACAGCCUGAUCUCUCCCUCUGCGUGUUGCAAGCACCUUUUUGUCUGCAGGUUAUUGCAAAGGCAGCAAAUAGAAGGGAUGAAUCGAUUCCCUGCAGGAUGUAUGUUCUCUGUGGGACAAAGCCAGAACUGCUCAAUAGUUCUUGUAGAGCCCUUUCCUGGCAGCUCCUGGCUGUCCUUGGCAUCAGCACUUGGAGCUCUAGCCUUUGGAGCACGUAAACCUGGGUUCCCACCCGAGAGGCUCCACAAAGCGGUCCUCUAACAAGACAAAUUCCUGAUGCUGUGCCCUCAGCGCUACCUCGAGGUGGAGUUUCCUCUUGCGAAACCAGCGGGUGCUGAAAAUGUCCUGCUGGCUCGGAUGACUGGGAAAGGCUUUGCUCACUGGUUUAGAUGUAUGUGUCACGGUGCUCAUCUUCUGUCUGUCCCAUCCCGACUCCUUGGAUUCUACUGCUGUAGAGCAGCAGUGUGUGCAUCAGUUCCUCCUGCUCAGUAACAUCCCGGACAGAGGGCACACUUGUUUCUGCUGUCAUUCCAAAACCAACUGUGGAGAGAAGGCCUUUGGGAGCAGAGUGGGAGCCAGAAGCAGGCUCCCUGGCAGCGCUGGACGGAGCUCAAGGGAAGCUGUUUCCCUCACCACCCUCCUGUGAGUUAACAGUCGAUGGUGACUAACAGGAAAGAAACUUCACCAUAGUGUAAACACCAAAAUGUUUGUAUUUGCCUUCCCGGUGGGUAUGAACGUUAUCUGAUUGUAGCGUGUUCUGUUUCUUGAAUUGUGUCGCUUCUGCAUCGCUCCUGUAGACAGAGAAUUAUUGUUACAAAGCAUGAAUUAUUGUCUAGCUCUAUAGACUGCGCCUGGUUUUCCACCCCCUCUGCACUUAAAGCUGAGGAGGCUGUAAGUGUGUCAGGACUCCGCCAACGCGGGAAGCGUCUUGACCGACAUCCGUGGCACUGGCCGCUCUCCCAGCUGGGCAUUUCAGUUAAAUGGGGGGACCUUGUGGGAGUCAGGCAGAACCAGCUUCAGGAAAAUAAUCUAAUCUGAGCAUUAGCGAUAAUUUACAUCCUGUCGAGGCCUGGCUCCAGAAUCCUGAGCUCCUGUAGGGGACCCGGGUAUUUAGCAGGUUGGAACAUGAGGCUCAGAACUGUUUUGUGCUGCGGUUUCUCUAUUGCUUUGAUAUCUCCCUUUAAAGAGAUGGGCACACUAAAAAUUAAUGAGCAGAUUCGGAGAUAAAGAGGUCUGUAAAACAGGGAUAACACUUAACUGCUUCAUGGGGGGCAUAAGGAUUAAUGAGUUAAUGUUCACAAAGUGCUUUGAAGAUGAAAAGUGCUAAGUCUGAUUGCAUCUGGUGGGUGAAGCAGAUGAGAAUGAAGAAGAGGUUCUCCAUUCCAUACUGUAACUACCGGGAACGAGGCCUUGCUAAAUGUCAUGAUAAAUAACGAUCUGAGGACGCUUUGCUCUCGUGCUGUCCCUGGCGAUUUGUAGUCGGGCAGCCCCUGGCAGAAGAUCGGUUUCCAGAACAGAUCCCAUAGUCUGUAAAUAGUCACGUCUCAUUUAUUCUGCUCGAAGUUACUUAUUUGGUUUCUGUGACUUUCGUUUGCUUUUCUUUCAUUCAUGUGUGUCCCGGAGAUGCUGGGCAGUGAAGCGCCCACAGCACCUGCCAGCUGGACCGUCACUUUGCAGUACGGCUUGUGUUCCCAUUGCUAAUCUCGUUAGUGGACACCGAUUAUUUCUCUGACCCCAGGGUGCCCAGCAGGGCGAGCGACAGGGACCCAUGGCAAAAUCCGUGGGCUGAAAACUCUGUCCUCUACCCCCACCGAACCCACUGCGGAAUGUAUUAAUUCUUUAAUAGAAUAAGUCUUGAUUGAAA